AGUGAACGCUGGCGGUAGGCCUAACACAUGCAAGUCGAACGGCAGCACAGUAAGAGCUUGCUCUUACGGGUGGCGAGUGGCGGGCGGGUGAGGAAUACAUCGGAAUCUACUUUUUCGUGGGGGAUAACGUAGGGAAACUUACGCUAAUACCGCAUACGACCUACGGGUGAAAGCAGGGGAUCUUCGGACCUUGCGCGAUUGAAUGAGCCGAUGUCGGAUUAGCUAGUUGGCGGGGGAAAGGCCCACCAAGGCGACGAUCCGUAGCUGGUCUGAGAGGAUGAUCAGCCACACUGGAACUGAGACACGGUCCAGACUCCUACGGGAGGCAGCAGUGGGGAAUAUUGGACAAUGGGCGCAAGCCUGAUCCAGCCAUACCGCGUGGGUGAAGAAGGCCUUCGGGUUGUAAAGCCCUUUUGUUGGGAAAGAAAAGCAGCAGGUUAAUACCCCGCUGUUCUGACGGUACCCAAAGAAUAAGCACCGGCUAACUUCGUG
Molecule: ribosomal RNA, 492 nt
Filed under: uncultured bacterium
Lineage: Bacteria
Description: partial 16S ribosomal RNA
Rfam family: Bacterial small subunit ribosomal RNA
Source: RNAcentral